CCCUUAGACGUUCUGGGCCGCACGCGCGCUACACUGACGAAGGCAACGAGCUUUCCUUUACCGAAAGGUACGGGUAAUCUUUUGAAACUUCGACGUGCUGGGGAUAGAUCCUUGCAAUUAUCGAUCUUAAACGAGGAAUUCCUAGUAAGCGCAAGUCAUCAACUUGCGUUGAUUACGUCCCUGCCCUUUGUACACACCGCCCGUCGCUACUACCGAUUGAAUGGUUUAGUGAGGCCUUCGGAUCCGCGACUCGUUUUGUGGAGAAGUUGGACAAACUCAGUCAUUUAGAGGAAGUAAAAGUCGUAACA
Molecule: ribosomal RNA, 308 nt
Filed under: uncultured eukaryote
Lineage: Eukaryota
Description: partial 18S ribosomal RNA
Rfam family: Eukaryotic small subunit ribosomal RNA
Source: RNAcentral